This 253-nucleotide ribosomal RNA is filed under the name uncultured bacterium. RNAcentral's name for it is "partial 16S ribosomal RNA". It matches the Rfam family "Bacterial small subunit ribosomal RNA", at positions 524 to 776 of the family's 1533-position model. The record is from RNAcentral.
GACAGAGGGUGCAAACGUUGUUCGGAAUUACUGGGCGUAAAGCGAGUGUAGGCUGUCCUCUAAGUCGGGUGUGAAAGCCCAGGGCUCAACCCUGGAAGUGCACUCGAAACUGGACGGCUUGAAUAUGGAAGAGGGUCGCGGAAUUCCCGGUGUAGAGGUGAAAUUCGUAGAUAUCGGGAGGAACACCCGUGGCGAAGGCGGCUCUCUGGGACGGUACUGACGCUGAGACGCGAAAGCGUGGGGAGCGAACAGG